Molecule: ribosomal RNA, 440 nt
Filed under: uncultured bacterium
Lineage: Bacteria
Description: partial 16S ribosomal RNA
Rfam family: Bacterial small subunit ribosomal RNA
Source: RNAcentral
CUACGGGGUGCUCCAGUGGGGAAUCUUGUGCAAUGGGCGAAAGCCUGACACAGCAACGCCGCGUGCGGGAUGAAGGCCUUCGGGCUGUAAACCGCUUUCAGCAGGAACGAAAAUGACGGUACCUGCAGAAGAAGGAGCGGCCAACUACGUGCCAGCAGCCGCGGUGACACGCAGGCUCCAAGCGUUGUCCGGAUUUAUUGGGCGUAAAGAGCUCGUAGGCGGUUUAGUAAGUCGGGUGUUAAAACUCCGGGCUCAACCCGGAGAGGCCAUCCGAUACUGCUGUGACUUGAGUUCAGGAGGGGAGCGGGGAAUUCCUAGUGUAGCGGUGAAAUGCGCAGAUAUUAGGAGGAACACCGGUGGCGAAGGCGCCGCUCUGGACUGAAACUGACGCUGAGGAGCGAAAGCAUGGGUAGUAAACAGGAUUAGAUACCCGUGUAGUC